Salvia splendens (bonfire salvia) is the source of this 635-nucleotide long non-coding RNA. RefSeq lists it as uncharacterized. The transcript has 2 exons. The record is from RefSeq and is a predicted model, not a curated record. Lineage: Eukaryota; Viridiplantae; Streptophyta; Magnoliopsida; Lamiales; Lamiaceae.
GCAAAUAAUAUUCCAAUUAUAGCUUAUAUUAAAUUAUGGGUUUUAAUUAAUUAGUCCUAAGCUAAUUGGGAGAGGUCAUAUCCAAAUCUUCCAUAGAUCUCUGACUGGGCCCAAUAUGAACUAAUUAUAAAUAAGAGAAUAAAGGAAAUACAAACAAAACAAUUUUCUCAUCAAAAUUUUCGAAAAUUUUGAUUUUUCUCUCUAGAGCUGGUCGAAUUUUUUGAGUCUCCUCCGUGAGAAUUCUGUCUUCUUUAUUCGAGUCCUAAGUGUUCCGGUGAGAUCAGCACACACUGAUAUCGGAGUACGGCUUGGAAAACCAGUCAGAAGAUCUGUGGUCGAGUAUUAAAGAUCGACAAGUGGAGAAGUAGCAAGCCAUCUACAAUUCUUUGGAUAAUCAAGAAGGCAACAUUUGGCGACCAAUCGACGGACCCCAACCCAGUUCCUGAACUGUUUAAAAAGCCUAACUCCAUGGCAGAAGGAAGUUGUUCAUGAACUAGGUUUUGGAGCUUUUGUCUUUCUUGUUCAGGAGGUGUCUAACUGAUUUGAAAUAGAUUUGUAGGGUAUUUUGUCUAGAUUUAUUACGAUGUAAAGCAAUUGGGAUGGUUUGAAUUCAAUUUUCUUUCAACAUUAUUCUC